UACGCGGGGUGCAAGCGUUAAUCGGAAUUACUGGGCGUAAAGCGUGCGCAAGCGGUUCGGGAAGAAAGAUGUGAAAUCCCAGAGCUUAACUAUGGAACUGCAUUUUUAACUACCGAGCUAGAGUGUGCCAGAGGGAGGUGGAAUUCCGCGUGUAGCAGCGAAAUGCGUAGAUAUGCGGAGGAACACCGAUGGCGAAGGCAGCCUCCUGGGAUAACACUGACGCUCAUGCACGAAAGCGUGGGGAGCAAACAGG
RNAcentral lists this ribosomal RNA (253 nucleotides) under uncultured bacterium. Its description in RNAcentral is "partial 16S ribosomal RNA". It matches the Rfam family "Bacterial small subunit ribosomal RNA", at positions 524 to 776 of the family's 1533-position model. The record is from RNAcentral.